CCUACGGGAGGCAGCAGUAAGGAAUAUUGGGCAAUGGACGCAAGUCUGACCCAGCCAUGCCGCGUGAAGGAAGACGGCCCUAUGGGUUGUAAACUUCUUUUCUCAGGGGGUAAACUUCGGAACGUGUUCCGGACUGAAAGUACCUGAGGAAUAAGCAUCGGCUAACUCCGUGCCAGCAGCCGCGGUAAUACGGAGGAUGCGAGCGUUAUCCGGAUUCAUUGGGUUUAAAGGGUGCGCAGGCGGGUAUAUAAGUCGGAGGUGAAAUUCUGAUGCUCAACAUCAGCCGUGCCUUCGAUACUGUAUAUCUAGAGUCAAGUUGGAGUAGGCGGAAUGUGUUGUGUAGCGGUGAAAUGCUUAGAUAUAACACAGAACACCGAUCGCGAAGGCAGCUUACUAAACUUUGACUGACGCUCAUGCACGAAAGCGUGGGGAUCAAACAG
RNAcentral lists this ribosomal RNA (440 nucleotides) under uncultured Anseongella sp. RNAcentral describes it as "bacterial SSU rRNA". It matches the Rfam family "Bacterial small subunit ribosomal RNA", at positions 338 to 775 of the family's 1533-position model. The record is from RNAcentral. Lineage: Bacteria; Pseudomonadati; Bacteroidota; Sphingobacteriia; Sphingobacteriales; Sphingobacteriaceae.